CUAAAAAGCCUUUAAUGUGAGGUGCCUAUAUGGAAAGCUUCAUUCCGAGGAAAUCUGCACCCAGGCUGGUGUUUGACAUUUUGACUAAAGGACCUAGUUACAUUGUGAAAAGAGGAAGAUACCCUUUAGGUUAUUCACAGAUCAGUGGGUUUUCCAGCUAAUACAGGUCUGAUGCUCUUCUGUCUUCACACAUGGUAUUCAUCAUAUCUUGACAAGAAAAGACCUUCAGUCUACAAAUAACCUUCACUGAAGUAAGACAUGAAACUGGAUUCUUAAAUCAGGCCUUCCAAAAGAACAUAAAAUUAGAAUUGCCUGCUGAAUGAAGACAAUUCAGAAAGCAAGCUAGUAUAAUCCCAAAAUUCCCAAAUGCUCUUUUCUCAAUGAUACUUCUAUCUACGAUGCUGCAGAUGACUGCCCCUCCACAAACAGUCAUCAAAUUAUGCCACUUGAAUGCCCCAAAAUGGAGAGAUGGGCGUGGGAAGAGAAAGACACCUCAGCAACACAGAGCUGAGAAAACACUUCUGCUGACCAGCUAUGACACCCAAUUUUAUAUAUGAGGAAAUUAAGGCCCAGGAAGGUCACAGAGCUAAGAAGAAACAGAGCUAAGACUUGAAUCCAAGUUUGGAGAAAAUCAUACACACGAAAAUUAACAUAGCUCUGAGCUCCCUGACCAUCCAGAUUCAAGAAGAGGAAACGCAGAUGCCAUCUGUGAUGGUUAGCAUUAUGUGUCAACUUGAUUGGAUUGAAGGAUGCUUAAAUAGCUGGUAAAGUAUUGUUUCUGUGUGUGUCUAUGAGGGCGUUGCCAGAGGAGAUUGACAUUUGAGUCCGUGGACUGGGAGAGGAAGACACACCCUCAGUAUGGGUGGGCACCAUCCAAUCGGCUGCCAGACCAGCUAAAACAAAGCAGAUGGAAGAAGGUGGGAUAAGCCGGCUUGCUGAGUUUUCUGGCUUCCAUCUUUCUCCCCUGCUGGAUGUUUCUUGCCCUUGGACAUCAGACUCCAGAUUCUUCGGCCUUUGGACUCUUGGACUCACUCUAGUGGUUUGCCUGGGACUCUCAGGCCUUCGGCUACAGAUUGAAGGCUACGCUGUCGACUUCUUUACUUUUGAGGCUCUUGGACUUGGAAUGAGCCACUGCUGGCUUCCUACCUCCUCAGCUUGCAGAUGGCUUAUCAUGGGACUUCACCUUGUGAUCGUGUGAGUUAAUUCUUAAUAAACUCCCUUUCAUAUAUACACCUACCCUAUUAGUUCUGUCCCUCUGCAGAACCCUAAUACACCAUCCUUUAAUAGAAGAAUAUCAAUAUCCUAUUAUAAAAAGAAUACAAGAAUACAAAAUAAUAUAUAUUCCAAAUUGUUGUAUUCUUUAUAUACAUCACACAUAUAUAUCACACAUAUAUGUAUGUGUGUGUAUGUAUUGCACCAUUUUAGACAAAUACAAUCUGUUACCCACACUCACUGAAGUGGCUUAAAAAAAAUAGCUCCAGAACAGAGAUGAAACAGCCUUGCAUUGGCAAGAGGAUAGUUUUUCUGUUAAGGAGGGGCUAGGCCAGGAAUUCAGCUGACUGUGAGCCAAUUUAAAGAGAACAAGGAGAACCAAGAAAGCUAUGCAAGCCAGGUUUAGG
RNAcentral lists this long non-coding RNA (1619 nucleotides) under Homo sapiens (human). RNAcentral's name for it is "HSALNT0203546". Lineage: Eukaryota; Metazoa; Chordata; Mammalia; Primates; Hominidae. The record is from RNAcentral.